AUUGAACGCUGGCGGAAUGCUUUACACAUGCAAGUCGAACGGUAGAGGGGGCAACCCUUGAGCGUGGCGAACGGGUGAGUAAUGUAUCGGAACAUGCCCAGUCGUGGGGGAUAACGUAGCGAAAGUUACGCUAAUACCGCAUACGAUCUAUGGAUGAAAGCGGGGGAUCGCAAGACCUCGCGCGAUUGGAGUGGCCGAUAUCAGAUGAGGCAGUUGGUAGGGUAAAGGCCUAACAAGCCGACGAACUGAAGCUGGUCUGUGAGGACGACCAGGCACACUGGGACUGAGACACGGCCCAGACUUCUACGGGAGGCAGCAGUGGGGAAUUUUGGACAAUGGGCACAAGCCUGAUCCAGCCAUUCCGCGUGCAGGAAGAAGGCCUUCGGGUUGUAAACUGCUUUUGUACGGAACGAAACGCGCUGAGCUAAUACCUCGGCGUAAUGACGGUACCGUAAGAAUAAGCACCGGCUAACUACGUGCCAGCAGCCGCCGUAA
This 495-nucleotide ribosomal RNA is filed under the name uncultured bacterium. Its description in RNAcentral is "partial 16S ribosomal RNA". It matches the Rfam family "Bacterial small subunit ribosomal RNA", at positions 30 to 523 of the family's 1533-position model. The record is from RNAcentral.